CCUACUCCGGCUCUAAUAGAUCGGGGCUUCCGUGCAUUUAAAACUUCCUAUUCAUAAACGGUGGCAUUAAGUUUCUAAAGUACUACGUACAACAAUAACCAUAUAUUCACUAUAGGUUGUGUCUUAAAGAUACUGCAAAGGAUCUCGUUGCUACACAGAAUAUCUUGUUUCUUUAUACAGGCAAAGAAACAAACGAAUCUGGUGUGGAGUUUUUCUCUUUACGAUAAAAGCACAAUCAAACGGUAAGUGUAAUCGUGUUCGUCAAAAUUCUGUCUGCCACCUGUAUUGUUUUUGCUUCGAUUAUUUACUAUUUAUAUUGUUAUCCUUAUUGCGACUAUUUAAAAUAUUCAACACGCAAUAAACAGCUGACGGAAAAACCUAGACUGCUAAAUGACUGAUAAGCUUUCCCCCGAAAAUUUGUUUUCGUGAAGUUCGAACCCAACAACAACGAGCAAAAGCAAAGCUUAGUAACUAUAAUCUUAAUUGAACUACAGAUAGCCUACGUGUUGAUGUUUGAAUCUUAGCGUUCGUAGGUCACUAAUUUAGUUAACUAUAUUAUGUAAAUAACCUAGUCGGCUGAGUAGUACGUGGAAUUUCUUAUUUUAAUAAAACAACUUGGACAGCUUUUUUUAUGAGAAGUAUGAGUAAGAACAUAAGCGACAGCAUGUUUACUUAAUUUCUUAAUUAUAAAAAAAUUAGCUGAACAUUGAACCUGCAAGGAAAAUGAUGACACGGCUCCUAAUCGUCAACGUGUUGUUAUCAUUCAGAGGUAUCACAAACGAUGAAACCGAUAACAAUAAUUAAAAACAGAAUCCUUGAUUAGGAAUACAGAUAAAUAAUAAUGCACUUAAAAUUGCAUGGAGCAAUACUAUUACGCCCUCAACCAAGUUUCACUUGCUAGACAAAACAAAAGGGCUUCAAUGCUUCGAGCAAAUAUAUUUCUCGUUUAAAUAAAAGAAUGUCUGUAACAAAAGCUAGAGGAAAUGAGUGGUGCAAAUUGUAAAUACUAAAAGCUUCUAUACAAAGCAAACAUCCUCAUCAUGGUUUACCAAAAAUUUAUGAUUUGUAAAAUAGAGAUCAUAAAAAUAAAGCUUUUAGGUUCUUUUGCAGGAGUAGCCUUUCGGCCGCCCACAUUUUCACGAUGAGGGAAGAGCAGCAACCUGUCUUUGCUUCGAACAUGGGAAGCAUCGCGCCACCUGCCAGCGCUCCAGGGGCUUCUGUUACGAGCAAGUUCGAGGAGCUUGUUCAAAAAUGUGCUCAAUUAGAAAGCGAGAAUGCUGUUUUGGCCUACAAGUUGCGUCGCAUGCGAAAAACGAUUCGUCGUUUGGGUCAAGACAAUGCGUUCAUCCAGAGAAGGCUGCGAGAACAUAUUAGAAAGAGAGAAGGCUCCACAACAACAACACUGGCCGCCCUUGUCGCUACCACGACUAUGGGACUGUCUUGCGAACAUGGACAUACGGGUGUCCCAACUACAAUCAAAAUGGAAACCCCUACCCAAGAAAACCAGGGGGCAAUUUCAGCAAAAUCAACAAAUUCGGCAGCCUCCAGAGCUGCACCAACGCUAUCGGCGCCAACGCCGACAUCAUCCACACCAGUAAUCACUGCAACGAGCAAUGGACAUGUAGGACGAACCUCCAAUAUAAAAUUAGAACCACCGCAAGCAAAUAAGAAAAGCGGAGUCAGCCAGAAUCCGGUAAUGACAAGUAUAGACGUGAUAGGAAGAUAAAACUAGCAGCAAGAAGUGCCUAUGCCAGCUCAUCGUCACGUUGCACAUCUUGUCACUAACGCCGGAAGAAACGCUUCGGUGAAAAUAGAGAUUUAUGUACUUGCUAAAGUACUUCAUAGCAAGUACAUAAAUCUCUAUCUUUACACUUGCUAUCAUUAUAUUAUUGUAUAGAUCUAAAUAAUGUUAUACUAGUAGAAAUUAGUUCACCAUUGGAAAUAGACUUUAAACUCCGAAUAAGAUCAACUGUCUGCGACUGAGACUAUCAUUGUCUCCUGAGUUGUGCGUCAGACUGCUAUCAGCUCAUCCAAUUCCACUAAGAAGUGUUGUCUUUCGCAGGAUAUGAAAAAAAUUAUUUCUGUUAUAAUUGAUUCUAUAAAGUAUAGUGUUUUCCUUCUGAAUAUAUAAAUUCAAUCCUGCGGGGCAGUGAUAGCCAUUACAAUAUGAAUCAACGAAAAAUUUAGAGAUGCACUGACUGGCUGUGAUAAAAAUUUUUAGAUACACCUCCAUUUUGUAAAUGGAGCAGUGUUCUUCUAUUGUGCGUAGCGUUAUUCGUGGUUGAAACACUAAAUGUGAACGUUAACCUGCGUUAGCUAACUAUAUAACGCAAAGCUGACACUGGAUCUAUAAACAGAAUGUUGUCUUAGUUAAAGCAGGCAAACGCCAAUGGAAUAAAUACAAUUUAGAAAAUUGUCAUUGUGUAUUUGAUAAAAGUCGAGUUAAAGCGCUUCUAUAAAGAACAAGGUGUUUCGUAGACACAAGUGACUGUGACACUAGUACAGAAUACAUUAUUUAUAAUAUGUUUUUUAUAGGCAAUUUUGGCUGUGUAUAUAAUUUAUUGUGCAAAUUGUGUACAUAACGGAGAAAACUUAAGAAAAUAAAGCAAA
Molecule: non-coding RNA, 2610 nt
Organism: Varroa destructor (honeybee mite)
Lineage: Eukaryota; Metazoa; Arthropoda; Arachnida; Mesostigmata; Varroidae
Source: RefSeq, a predicted model, not a curated record